UCAGACGAUGCGUCAUGCAUAUCAAUAAGCGGAGGAAAAGAAACUAACAAGGAUUCCCCUAGUAACGGCGAGUGAAGCGGGAAGAGCUCAAAUUUGAAAUCUUCAAGGUUUGACCUUGACGAAUUGUAGUUUAAAGAAGUGUUUUCGGUUAGAGGAGUGGUAAAAGUUCUUUGGAAUAGGACAUCAUAGAGGGUGAGAAUCCCGUAUUUGAUCAUUCCUUCUAGCUUUGUGAUACACUUUCAAAGAGUCGGAUUGUUAGGGAAUGCAGUCCAAAAUGGGUGGUAAAUUUCAUCUAAAGCUAAAUAUUGGCGAGAGACCGAUAGCGAACAGGUACCGUGAGGGAAAGAUGAAAAGAACUUUGAAAAGAGAGUUAAACAGUACGUGAAAUUGUCAAAAGGGAAGCGUUUGACACCAGUGUUGUUUUCUCGAAAAUCAAUUAAAAAGAGUUGGAUUUUGUGUUGUAUUGACCUUAACAGCUUGCUUCACUCUUUUCCUGCUUUUUUUAGUGCACUUUUCGUUUAACAAGUCAACAUCAGUUUCUUUUGUUGUAAAAGGGUCAUUGGAAGGUGGCUUUCUCUUCGGAGAAAGUGUUUAUAGCCUUUGAUCUCUGCAAUCGGAGAGACUGAGGUCUGCAGCGUAGAUCCUUCGGGGUUAGAUACAUUUGUGCUAAGCUACAGCUUUUCAUAGCCAACUUGUUGACUAUGUUUAGUCUUGUAACUUACCCGCUUAUGCUAUUUUACCUACGCUUAGGAUGUUGAUAUGCAUGACUGAUAU
This 774-nucleotide ribosomal RNA is filed under the name uncultured Neocallimastigales. RNAcentral's name for it is "partial large subunit ribosomal RNA". It matches the Rfam family "Eukaryotic large subunit ribosomal RNA", at positions 18 to 636 of the family's 3401-position model. Lineage: Eukaryota; Fungi; Neocallimastigomycota; Neocallimastigomycetes; Neocallimastigales. The record is from RNAcentral.